UACAGAGGUGGCAAGCGUUGUUCGGAAUUACUGGGCGUAAAGGGCGCGUAGGCGGCCAUCUAAGUCAGACGUGAAAUCCCCCGGCUUAACCUGGGAACUGCGUCUGAUACUGGACGGCUAGAGUAUGGGAGAGGGAUGUAGAAUUCCAGGUGUAGCGGUGAAAUGCGUAGAUAUCUGGAGGAAUACCGGUGGCGAAGGCGGCAUCCUGGACCAUUUACUGACGCUGAGGCGCGAAAGCUAGGGGAGCAAACGGG
Molecule: ribosomal RNA, 254 nt
Filed under: uncultured bacterium
Lineage: Bacteria
Description: partial 16S ribosomal RNA
Rfam family: Bacterial small subunit ribosomal RNA
Source: RNAcentral